RNAcentral lists this ribosomal RNA (464 nucleotides) under uncultured bacterium. RNAcentral describes it as "partial 16S ribosomal RNA". It matches the Rfam family "Bacterial small subunit ribosomal RNA", at positions 29 to 507 of the family's 1533-position model. The record is from RNAcentral.
ACGCACGCUGGCGGCGUGCUUAACACAUGCAAGUCGAACGGAAAGGCCCCAGCUUGCUGGGGUACUCGAGUGGCGAACGGGUGAGUAACACGUGGGUGAUCUGCCCUGCACUCUGGGAUAAGCCUGGGAAACUGGGUCUAAUACCGGAUAGGACCGUGCUUUAGUGUGUGCGGUGGAAAGUUUUUCGGUGCAGGAUGAGCCCGCGGCCUAUCAGCUUGUUGGUGGGGUAAUGGCCUACCAAGGCGGCGACGGGUAGCCGGCCUGAGAGGGUGUACGGCCACAUUGGGACUGAGACACGGCCCAGACUCCUACGGGAGGCAGCAGUGGGGAAUAUUGCACAAUGGGCGCAAGCCUGAUGCAGCGACGCCGCGUGGGGGAUGACGGCCUUCGGGUUGUAAACCCCUUUCGGCAGGGACGAAGCUUUUGUGACGGUACCUGCAUAAGAAGCACCGGCUAACUACGUG